AUCCAGGCUCUGUUCCAGUCAUCUUGCCUCCCCACAGCCAGCCCUUCCUCUCCCAUCGUCACGAUUUCCUUCUUCCAAUUCCUCGCACUACCCAAAAGGAUAUGGAGAUCUCCAGCCAGGAACAAAGCCUUCAAGAGUUGGAUUUAGAAGACAUAACUAGGAAAAUUUUAUUUCUUGACAAAUGGAGGAGAAUCUUUAGUUAUCAUGGGUUGGGAACCAAUAAUACAACUCCUGAGAGUCACGAAAGCAACCAUGUGUCAGCUAAUGAAAC
RNAcentral lists this long non-coding RNA (271 nucleotides) under Cavia porcellus (domestic guinea pig). RNAcentral describes it as "lncRNA (ENSCPOG00000031076.1)". Lineage: Eukaryota; Metazoa; Chordata; Mammalia; Rodentia; Caviidae. The record is from RNAcentral.